GAUGAACGCUGGCGGCGUGCUUAACACAUGCAAGUCGAACGGGAUCCAAGGGGUGCUUGCACUUUUUGGUGAGAGUGGCGAACGGGUGAGUAACACGAGAGUAACCUGUCCUUUUCUUUGGGAUAGCAUUCGAAAGGGUGUUUAAUACCUUAUGUUCUGUCUGCCUCGCAUGGGGUGGGUGGGAAAGGCUUUGGCCGGAUUUGGGUGGGCUCGCGGUCUAUCAGCUUGUUGGUGGGGUGAUGGCUUACCAAGGCUUUGACGGGUAGCCGGCCUGAGAGGGGGGUCGGUCACAUUGGGACUGAGAUACGGCCCAGACUCCUGCGGGAGGCAGCAGUGGGGGAUAUUGCACAAUGGGCGAAAGCCUGAUGCAGCGACGCCGCGUGGGGGAUGAAGGCCUUCGGGUUGUAAACUUCUUUUGCUCUGAACAAGGCAUGCCAGUGGGUGUGUUGAGUGUAGGGGUUGAUUAGCGCCGGCUAACUACGUG
Molecule: ribosomal RNA, 484 nt
Filed under: uncultured bacterium
Lineage: Bacteria
Description: partial 16S ribosomal RNA
Rfam family: Bacterial small subunit ribosomal RNA
Source: RNAcentral